RNAcentral lists this ribosomal RNA (406 nucleotides) under uncultured bacterium. Its description in RNAcentral is "partial 16S ribosomal RNA". It matches the Rfam family "Bacterial small subunit ribosomal RNA", at positions 30 to 526 of the family's 1533-position model. The record is from RNAcentral.
AUUGAACGCUGGCGGCAGGCUUAACACAUGCAAGUCGAGCGAGCGGCGGACGGGUGAGUAAUGUCUGGGACACUGCCUGAUGGAGGGGGAUAACUACUGGAAACGGGAGCUAAUACCGCAUACCAUCAGAUGUGCCCAGAUGGGAUUAGCUAGUAGGUGGGGUAAUGGCUCACCUAGGCGACGAUCCCUAGAUGGUCUGAGGGGAUGGCCAGCCACACUGGAAUGGAGACACGGUCCGGACUCCUACGGGAGGCAGCAGUGGGGAGUAUUGUACUAUGGGCGCAAGCCGGAUGCAGCCAUGCCGCGUGUGUGAAGAAGGCCUUCGGGUUGUGAAGCUCUUUCAGCGAGGAGUCGUUACUCGCAGAAGAAGCACCGGCUAACUCCGUGCCAGCAGCCGCGGUAAUAC